Molecule: ribosomal RNA, 713 nt
Filed under: uncultured archaeon
Lineage: Archaea
Description: bacterial SSU rRNA
Rfam family: Archaeal small subunit ribosomal RNA
Source: RNAcentral
GGUUCGGCCUCGGCAGCACUGCUCAGUAACACGUGGAUAACCUAACCUUAGGUGGAAGAUAACCUCGGGAAACUGAGAACAAUAUUCCAUAGAUCUAGAAUGCUGGAAUGCAUCUAGAUUAAAAGUUCCGACGCCUAAGGAUGGGUCUGCGGACUAUCAGGUUGUAGUCAGGGUAAAGACCUGACUAGCCUACGACGGAUAUGGGUUGUGAGAGCAAUAGCCCAGAGACGAUAUCUGAGACACGAUAUCGGGCCCUACGGGGCGCAGCAGGCGCGAAAUCUUCACAAUGUGCGAAAGCACGAUGAGGGGAUCCCAAGUGCUGGCACGUAAGUGUCAGCUGUUUUUUAGUCUAAAAAACUGAGAGAGUAAGAGCUGGGUAAGACGGGUGCCAGCCGCCGCGGUAAUACCUGCAGCUCGAGUGGUGGCCGCUAUUAUUGGGCCUAAAACGUCCGUAGCCUGUUUAGUAAAUGCUUGGGUAAAUUGUGUAGCUUAACUAUACGAAUACCGGGUAGACUGCUAAACUUGGGACCGGGAGAGGCUAGAGGUACUCCUGGGGUAGAGGUGAAAUUCUGUAAUCCUAGGGGGACCACCAGUGGCGAAGGCGUCUAGCUAGNACGGGUCUGACGGUGAGGGACGAAGCCCUGGGGCGCGAACCGGAUUAGAUACCCGGGUAGUCCAGGGUGUAAACGCUGCUUGCUUUGAUGUUAGUUGGG